RNAcentral lists this long non-coding RNA (1101 nucleotides) under Anas platyrhynchos platyrhynchos (common mallard). RNAcentral's name for it is "lncRNA (ENSAPLG00000030136.1)". The record is from RNAcentral. Lineage: Eukaryota; Metazoa; Chordata; Aves; Anseriformes; Anatidae.
AUGUUUAACUUUACGCCUCCGGUUCCUCCGAGGGCAGCGCCCCGCGCCCCGCACCUGCAGCCCCGUUCCCAGCCCCAGCGCCCGCAGGGGGGCUCGGCACCCUCGGGCCCCCCACCCCGGCACCCAGCGCCCCCUCCCCAAGCCCCUUCGCCGCAGGGCUCCUCGGUGAUCCCCCAAACCCCCUGGUCCCCCCUCGCCCCCCGCAGACCCACCUCUGGCGGACAUGGCCGGGCCGUGCCGGGCCGUGCCGAGCCGGGCGGGGCCGCGGCGCUCUCCGCGCUGCGUGCGCCUGUGCGGCUCGGCUGGGCUCGGCUCGCCUUGGAUCGGAUUGGAUCGAGUGGGAUCGCCUGGGAUCGGGCUGCCGAGGGCAGGGCGGUGGCUGCGGGGCGGAGCGGGGCGGGCGCAGCGCUGCGGGCCCGGAGGGGCAGCGGGCGCCCCCCCGGCGGGGGCCGGGAGCUCCCCGACACGGCGAACCCGACCUCAACCCCCCGGGAGGCUGCGGGGAAGGGCAGGCGACGGGAACCGCAGGGCUGCGGCCGAAUUGAGCCGCGAGAGGUGGCUCCGCUCAGGGUCGGCACGGCCAGCAAGCAGGACCCGGGGUGCUGCGGCAGCCGGCACGGCGGUGGCACGGGGGCUGAGUCACGCUCCUCCUGCUCUGCUGUGCCACACGCAGCGCAGCUGCCUCCCAGCAGCAAGCCCACACGGUUUUCCUACGAAAGAAACGCAGCCGGAGAUCCAGGAGAGGUGGCGGUGCUCGCAUCCCUGCCCGCGGCUGCGUGGCGCGGUCCCCACCGCAGUGCCGGGGCGCAGCCGGCUGGUGGCUGCUUGGCAGCGCCCUGGAGUGCUCGCCCCGCUGCCAGCCGGGCAGCGAGGUAUAUAUGUGCAUGUAAAAUGUGUGUGUGUACAUGUAUGUGUAAGGGAGCAGAGCAGCAGCACAAGGGCGAGCGCACACGUGUCCUCUCAUCAGGUGAUGUAGGCGCAGACAAUGCGCCGGCACAGCUGUUCCUCCCAUAUCGCACUCAGCCAGCAAUGACUUGUGGUCAUACACACCUCUGUUUGCCAUGCAUAGCCCCACUGUCACCUGCAGCUCAUACUCAUUAG